CUAACACUGUGUGACGUGGGAAUGCCAGCAUCAGGGUUCAAACACGAGGAGUUACUGCUGCUUACUUGAGGGAGGCACAGUGCUCUCACUCUGUAAUAAUGCUGAUUGAUUGCCACACUAUUAUGGAUCCCAGCUCACCAGGAACCCAUGAGAAACUUCUCUUCGUACAACUACACCGACUUCUCAAAAAAGGUCUCAACCCAGUGGGAUUUUUAAGCCUACACAAUUUUGGACCUACGUGCAUGUUCAAGUAACAGCAAAACCCGUGGAACUUGUGUUCACAAACUGUUUAUUCUAGUGGGUUUUGUACUUGGUGACCACCAUCCAGAAACAAAGAGAGAAGAGCACUCUGAAAAUUGGAGAUUUAAGGGUUUGAAAAGUGUACCAGUAGGUGUUAAUCUGCAAAAAUACGUGUGGGAGAAAAGGACAGUGAAAUUAAGCCACCUAUUAAUACUGUACUUUAAAGGGCAAUAGGUAUCUUUAUCGUUAAAAUAAACUGAGAAAUCCUGCCUA
Molecule: long non-coding RNA, 513 nt
Filed under: Anas platyrhynchos (mallard)
Lineage: Eukaryota; Metazoa; Chordata; Aves; Anseriformes; Anatidae
Description: lncRNA (ENSAPLG00020013791.1)
Source: RNAcentral